GAAGUCGUUACUCCAACCCUUGUGGAGGAGGACGCCGAAGGUGGGGCUAAUGACUGGGGUGAAGUCGUAACAAGGUAGCCGUACCGGAAGGUGCGGCUGGAUCACCUCCUAACAGGGAGACAACAAAAUGUAAAUAUUAAUUUUGUCACCUUAGGUCGAUCGGUAUCUCAGAUUCUUAUUUUUUAAGAAUUUCAGUUUCUAAGUUUUUUCUAGGUCACACCCAUCACUUUUCCUGGGCCAUUAGCUCAGGUGGUUAGAGCGCACCCCUGAUAAGGGUGAGGUCCCUGGUUCAAGUCCAGGAUGGCCCAUAUCUCUAUGUUGGGGGUAUAGCUCAGUUGGUAGAGCGCCUGCUUUGCAAGCAGGAUGUCAGCGGUUCGAGUCCGCUUACCUCCACUGAAUACCACCUCUUACAUAUAGUUGAAGUGGGAAAUUGUUUUGAGUCGUGUCCUAAUUUGCUCUGAGCGAAUCUAGCUUCCUAUUUUAUCCAAGAAAUAAGAUGCUGGACUCAUUGAAUUUUUUUUCAUUGUUUUCAGAGAACCUUGACAACUGCAUAGAUUAUUUUUAAAGACAAUAAGCAUCUUUAAUGAUGCAGAUUUAUUAUUUGUGCGAAUGCAUUAAAUAACAAUUCUAUUAAGCUGAUGCUUCAAUUAUUGAAGUUAUUGGUCAAGCUACAAAGGGCUCACGGAGGAUACCUAGGCACACAGAGGCGAUGAA
RNAcentral lists this unclassified non-coding RNA (714 nucleotides) under uncultured cyanobacterium. Its description in RNAcentral is "partial contains 16S ribosomal RNA, 16S-23S ribosomal RNA intergenic spacer, and 23S ribosomal RNA". The stretch from base 1 to 112 matches the Rfam family "Bacterial small subunit ribosomal RNA", at positions 1423 to 1533 of the family's 1533-position model. Lineage: Bacteria; Bacillati; Cyanobacteriota. The record is from RNAcentral.